Molecule: long non-coding RNA, 2210 nt
Organism: Phasianus colchicus (ring-necked pheasant)
Lineage: Eukaryota; Metazoa; Chordata; Aves; Galliformes; Phasianidae
Source: Ensembl
CCCCCCGCCCUCCCCCCGCCACACGGCGCUGCCCCGCGGUUUGCUCCAUGCGCAUCGCCGCAGCCCCGCCGGCUCCGGGGAAGUUCAAGAAGUUGGUUGGCCCCACUCCCUGCGAGUGCGCCAGCCCAAACACCGGUGUCUGCCCGGAAUAUUUCACCGUCGGGGAGCGGGAGGGGGGGGGGGNNNNNNNNNNNNNNNNAAAAAAAGCCCCCUCGGGCUCUAAUCUCCCAUGCAUCGUUACAACUGUCCGCAGCGAGGCGGGGGAGGCCGGGCUGCAAUUAGCUAUAGAGCCGCUCGCCUUGCAAACAGAGGGGCUCGGAUUAUUGCAAAUUCAUUUCUAUUUUCCAGGCCAGCGCUUGUAUUCUCUGUUAGCAUAAGAAUAGAGCCAGGCCCUGUGAACUCCUCCGACCUACUGACCCCUCUCCCCAGAAAUGAAUAGCAGCACUUUCCGUCCCCCCCCCUCGUCAGCCUCUCCAGCAGACUCGAGCCACGGCCUAAAUUCCUAAUCAGGGUAAUUUAAUAUAUCUUAAGCCCCUGGCUGCUUUAUUUUCGCUCCUUUUUUUAGUUUGUUUUAGGCAUUCACCGGCUCUCACCCCGUCAUUAGAGAUCCUUAUUUGACGGAUAUAAGAAGCUGUUAUGAGACUACAAGUCUCUUUUUAUCUUCUAAAUAAGCUGUGCUUCCCUGUAAUUAGAAUGGUAUUCCCAGCCUUUGAGGCCUUUCAGGACCGCCUAACAAAAAACUUGCAGGAGAUGAAUAAUCCCGAAGGACAAACUCCCGUCCCAAGCAAGGAGCUGGGAAAGCAGCAGCGCCCGGUGCGUCCUGCUCCGUGCUGUCCCCGUGUCCCAUUGUCCACUCAUCGAGGGCUCCCAUGGAACCCUCGGUGCGGUCACAGAGCCCCCUCCCCACCUCGCGGCCAUCACAGCCCAAACGCACCGGGCACCCCCACCCCUACCCCCUUCCCCGGCUCCGUGCUGCCGCCCCGUCCCCAUCCCGCAGAUUCCCGGCCGCCCCGUCGUGCCGUCGAGGGGAUCGCACCAGCGCCGCUCGGAUCUUAUUGGCCACCUCGGGCUGACGACGUGCUCCCAGGCCCUCCCGAUUGGCUCUGCUCUGUGGCAUCACGAUUGUUCGACGGGGCUCCCCGCCGCGGGGGGGUCGGUCCCAAAGAGAUUUACCCCGGCCCGGCUCGAAUAGUGCAGCGGUGGGAGAGAGAAAGAUCUCAACUCACAACACUUCCCUGCGUCCUUCCGCACCGGCCAAAUAGGCAAACAGAAUCACAGGGACGGGUGGCUGAACUCAGGCACGGUGGGGCAGAAUGCCCCGGGAUUCACCACGUCUAUCAGCACUGCAAACUUCAAAGCUGCCGUGCAGCUGCUGCAGCACAGUGUGGGGACAGGGAUGUGGCUGCCAGGGACACGGCUGGGGACACAGCGUGAUGGUGAUGGGUGCGGGCCGGUUCUGCCCUGAAAUUAUUUUUAAAGGAAAGCAAGGUGGUUUUUAAAUAGUAGGAGAAAUAAUGUGUUUUCUUGUAACCCUUUUUGGUGCUGGAGGAGUGAGAAGAUCUUUUCCCUGAGAGUGGAGGCCAAGGAUGCAAGAUGCAUCUGCGUCUCCUUUUUUACCUCAAAAUGAGGAUUGUGGAGGGGGUCCUGGGUAGCCCUGGGCUGGAAGGGUGUCCUUCUGCAUUGUACUGCCCUGACCCACCUACAUUGUGCUGUGGCUUGGCACCGUGUCCAGAUGGUGCCUAAUUUGGGGAUGUAAUGCUCAUAUUAAAGCAGAGUGGCAAAGGCAGCAACGCUCCACAAGACGUUGCAGGCAUUCAUCCCAGCAAUGCCUGGUUCCUCCUCACUCCCCUGCUACUAGGAUGGUAGUAUGGGCAGGUUGUGGUUGAACUUGAUGAUCUUUAAGGUCUUUUCCAACCUGAGCAAUUCCAUGAUUCUAUUAUUUUUAUUAUUAUUAUUUUGAAAGGAUUUGGGGACACUACAUCAACAAAUACACCUAUAAACAUCCACCUCCACAGAGGUGCCCAGUAUUGGCUAUGGAGACGUGUGGUGAUGUUUGCUCCUGAUGCUGAUGGAUGGGUGAGGAGGACCCUGACGGGACCGCAUGGCUCCCAUCAGCUACAAUAGUUGGGGGAAGAAGGAACCUGACAUCCUGUAUUUGUAUAAAUCACACCCAUAAUAAACAGGGGGAAAAAAAAUAAAUGAAGGGGAGA